GAAUAAUAUUUAUUUUAACAAUUUGUCUCAUUUUGAGCAGGUUCCCCAAAUGAGGAUACUUUAGGAAUGCGAUCACAAAGCAGGAGAAUCUGAGGAAAUUGACAACAGGGAGUAUGUUCGCUCACUCAUGAACUUCGUUAAGUAUUGAUUAAGCACUUACAGCAUGCCGAGCACUGCUGAACGGGGAUAUAUAGUGGUAAACAAGAGGAAUAAGGUCCCUGACCUCAAAUAGCAACAGAUCAGUAAAGAUGACGUUGGGGGAGUUUGCCAGUGUGCCACAGCAAGCAACAACGAUAAAAACCUUUUUCAGGUUGUGCUCAGCCUGAAAGUUGCGUCUUUCUGCCCCAAACAGCUUAAGACUGUCUAUAAAGUCACUCCUGGUGACAUUGAAGAGUGAAGAUGCUCAGAGCAGAGGACCAAGGUCAGCAGACUCUUCCCAGGCAUUCUGGUGGCAACCAUGAAAAUACUCCUAACCAGGAAACAAAACUGUGAAGCCUAUUACCAGGCUUCAAAUCAAAACUUCCACUGUACAUCUUUACAUAUUACGUCCACAUUACUUAGGAUGUCAAACAGCAUUGAUGCUUCAAAAGGAAGCCUAUGGUAUGUCAUCUGAAGGUCAGGCACGGAAGACAUUGCUAUGAACACAGAUCCUUUAGCUUUCAUAACAUGUUGGAGAAGAGGAAGGAGCUGGUGGAUACAGGGAAGUCGGCUUGCUAGGGAAAAGUCAAGUCCCUCAAUCAUUUCAUCCUGCUUUUAUUACUGGGAACUCAGGGUACCACACAAACUCUCUGGAACCCACGCCAGAUGGCUAGAGAUGAGAUUUGGAUGAACUAAGAAGACUCCUUGCUCCCUGUUGCAGGGACUUAUUUGGUAAGACUGCCCUUUCCCAAGAGUGUCCCCAUGGCUGGCCCACAUGCCGGACCUUCUGACUCCAAACUAUGUCUGCAGUUCACAUAACAGGCUCAGCAGACUUCAUUUCUAACGUGCCACCUGGUAAUCUCUAGGAGCUGCAGCGAGUUCCCAAACCAGACAUCCACUGUGACUCCAGCCUUCUUGUUCUGGUCCACAUCUCCUGUACGUGUAGCCCUCUCACACUUCCAGCCCUCUUCUUAUAGUUUAUCUUCGGCAUCACGUUGCUUCUGAGGCACUGGAGAGCAUUCAAGAAAAGAAUUGAAGUUCUGAAGAAACCAAACAC
This is a non-coding RNA of Delphinapterus leucas (beluga whale), 1195 nucleotides long. Lineage: Eukaryota; Metazoa; Chordata; Mammalia; Artiodactyla; Monodontidae. The record is from RefSeq and is a predicted model, not a curated record.